GCUACAACUAACAUGGCAUCUCUAGUUGUAGGGAAUAUCAUCAAUGUGGUUGAUUUUGGCGCAAUAGUUUUUAUAUGUGCGAAUAGUAACAUAUUUGACAUUGUAAAUAAACGUAGAAAUGGAGAAAUUGAAGUGUUGCAAGCAGUACCCUGAGGCUUUCCUGGGACCAACUGAGGAUAUGUGGACUUUAUAUAAACAUUUUAAUUCAAUAAUCCAACGAAACUUAAGUUGUCCCACCGAACAUUCCGUAAUAGAAUUGGAGGCCCAUUUUAAGAAAUAUAAACAAAGCUUUUCGUCGUUUCUUGCAUAUCCGCAAAAAAACGAAAAGCACAGACAACUACUGAAAAAUGGUCUAAUAGAUGGAGUAUCAAUAUCGAAGUAUUCGCGAACUGUGGCGAUUUCCAAAGAUUUAAUUGACGAAGCUCUAAUAAUAUCUGACAUGUUCAAUGUAGAUGAAAUGAUGGCACUGGAAUUACUUUGUACUGCUCAGCGGGAAAUGUUUAAACAUCCCGGAUUAUCAAGAGGAUUAGUUGCUGUUUUGCUUUACUACGAUGGUAAAAAGGCAUUGGCACAUUCUCUUCGGGAUCUCUUUCGUGUAACUAAUGGAAUUUCUUGGGAAACCGAUAUACCUAAAGAGAUAACAAGCUUGGUUUCGUCGUUUACACAGAAUUUGGUUAACCAUUACAACAUUCUCGAAAGAAUCGUGAGCCUACUAGAAGAGUUAGACAUAUCGAAAGAAAUCGUGAUCUUAACAAAAAAUCGAGCCUUGGGGUCAAAAAAACACCAAAACCAAGUGCAACAACUUUACAAUGAUAUCAAGAUGUCAUUAGCAACUGCUUUAUUUUAUUGGGCAGCGCAGCGUGGCCUUUCGAAAAGCAUUGUUGUUAAGCUUAUCAAAAAAAUGCCUAAAUUUGCACAAGUCCAAGCGUCAGGCACAGUUGAUGAUAUAACACUAACAGUGCUUUUUGCUAUACUAUAUGCGUGUGAUACCAGCGUUUUGCUCAAAUAUGAAGCUUCGACAACUGUCUCUCAAAAUAUUCCUAUUCUUUGUCAAGGAGACUUUUUGCAGACCGUGCAUGAAGUUUUGAUUUCAACUCAUCAGGAUGGUCUAAAUGGAACAGUAAAACUUGCAUUCGGCUUAGCAUUGACAGGUUUCCGACAUGCAUCCCAGCAAGUACCGAAUUCAGUGUCGAAAGUCAUAACCUGUGAUGAGCAACUUAUUGAUGCAGCUAUCAACAGUAAAGUGUUUGAUUUUUUAUAUUACUAUGUUUUGGAAAACAGAACUCUAUACCGGCACGAAUUCUUUUACCGUCGCGUUCAUAUGAUAAUUACCGACUUUAUUGAAUUUAUGCAUUCUAAAGUAACUGAAUUACGAGGAAAAGCUGAUGAAACCGCACGAACUGUUAUGGGAUUUUUAAAAGAAGGCUUAGAGCCACCAUUUAGUUUAGACCACAGUUUUGAAAUGCUGAUGUUAUGUAUAGCCAAGUUUUACAAAAACAAUCAAGCAGGACUUUCAUUGUGCGUAGAAUUUUGGAAACCACUUGAUUCAACGUUCAGCUCAUUGAAAACGACUACUCGUUCCGUAUCUUUGUUUAAGUUCAUUCGUUUGGCCGGAGAACUAUUGCCAUCUACUUUGUUUGUAUCUUAUUUAAAAAUGAUAGCUGGUUUGACAAGUUGUGAACGGUCUGCGCGUAAUACUUUUAAUCUGUUAAAACAAGCUUCAGGAUUGACUGGAAGUACAACCUUAUCCUGGGAACAUUUUUUUGGGUCUCUGAUUCAAUAUUAUUCAAACUUACGACAGGAACAUUGUCUUGGUACUGAAAUAUCGUACAAAACUCACUUAAACCGCAGUAUUAACCCGCAAGAAAUAGAAGCCCUUCAAGCAGUACUCGAAGUGAUAAGAGCUGUGGCUACCUACGAUGAAUUGUCAAGAAUAGCAAUAUGCGAAAAUCCGAAUUGGGCGCCAUUACAAAUUCUUCUAGGUUUGUUGAGCUGUCCGGUGCCGCUGGCAUUAAAAGGAAAUAUCUUGCAAACAUUGUCUGCCCUAGGUAGUUCUAAGGAAACGGCAACAAUCCUUUGGAACAUUAUCGAGGCGUCUCAAAUCAUUCCAACAUUGCCUGUAAUUGGUUCUCUAAAUGCCUGCAAUAUCCAAACAGAAAUAUCACAAAAUGAAGUCCGGCUUGAAAGCUAUACUCUUUCCCAAGGAAUACUGGAUCUAAUUUUUUCCUUAUUAAAUGCUUACGUGCCUAAAAACUUAGGAGCAGAUCAUCGAAAGCCAGGGCUGCAACCUUACAUAACGUUUGUUAUUGAUGAAAUUUUCUUUAAAUUUUACGACCGGCAAUACAAAAACCUUACGGAAAAAUGGGAAAUCGGUUUAAAAUGCUUAAAAAUAAUAAAUUAUUUAGUUCAAGCAUAUGAACCAAAAUCCAAUGAUUUUGUAGAGCAGAAUGAUCGAAGCCCUCCAUUGGGAUAUUAUAUAAUGCUGCAUCUGCAAAAAAAAUCUCAUUUCUUGAGUCUUCUGCUUCUAAUAAUUGAUGACGCACGACAGAGACUUGAUGAAUACGAACAAUUUAAUGAAAGAGAAAUGCUUGAAGAAUGUGCUCUUCUUUGCCUUAAGAUAAUCGAAGAAGGAUUAAUCAAACAAAAGGAGUUUUUAAACUCUCAUGUUAUAGCAAACAGCCCAAAUAUACUUUUUGGUCUAAACAAAAUCCUUUUAGAUGUCAAUCCGCGCAGCCAAAGACCAGAUCAUCUUUUGAACAUAACGAAAUUUGUAACCUAUUGCAGUUGGCUACCUAAUCACUCACUUACUGCUAUAAAUAUACUUAAUAUGGUGUCAAGAAUGCCGAAUAUCUCAAACCAAGUAUUGGAUGUAUUUAUUUCAAACGGACAUAUAAAUGAGGAGAUUCGUCAAGGUUUUGUUGAUUGCAUGGAUAUGGAUACAAACUCAGAAACGCAUAAUUUGUAUGGCAAAUCGAACGAUAUCCAUUCUUCGUAUAAGAUCAAUCUCAAAAUCAAAACUUCAAUAAUCGAAUUGCUUCGAAAUUGCAUAUCACAGCCAUAUCCAAAUAUCGGGUUUUACCUUCUUGGAUUUGAAUAUACGAACGAUGCGGUUGAAAAACGAAAACUUGGUAUUACCGAGUCAACCAAUCACUGCCUGAAAGCAGUAAUAGCUUUAUUAGACAAUCAUUUAGAGAUGAUGAAAACUUCAAACACAUAUGAUGCCGAUUUGGAACAUAUUAUGAAAAACUCAUAUUUUCUCCUAUAUUUAUUGUGCUCAAAUACCCGAACGUCAGAGGGAGUGUUGCGCUAUUUACGUUCUUCAAAUGAUUUUAUAUGCAGGCACUUAAAGGAACUGCCAUUUAAAAAUAUCAGCUAUUCAAGCAUUUUAUAUCAGAUAAGUUACUUAUUGGAAUGCACCGCAACAGAGUUAAAACUGGCAAGUUCUUACUGUCAAAUAAGUAGAGUUCAGCAGAUUUGUGAAAUUUUAGUGGGCACUGCUACUAAUAAAACUGAAGAUCACAUUUCAAUCAAUUCGACAUUAUUUUUUUCCCAUUCAUCUCCGGUUUUAAGUGAACAUUUCAUUAAAUCAAAGUCGGAAAAAGUGCCCAACUUUUUGCUUAGUAACAUUAUGGACUGGCUGGUGUUUGAGACAAGAGAUGUAAAUAAUCCUAAAUGGGAUUUUUUUGAUAUAUCUCUAUCGAAGCAGAUAUUUGAAGAGUGUGAAUCAAGCACUGAGGAAGGUCACUCGUUAAUUAAUAUACAAAAACUACACAAAAUACUUCAUGAUGAGUUAUGUAAUGUGCAGGGCACUGUGGCUGGUGGGCAGCGGAAACUAAUAUUGCAAGAAAUUGAAUCUAUAUUGAUGUAUGCCCUUAAAAUAAAUGAAACAAGGAAUAGAACUAUGGGAACAAUAAAAGUAAUGGACGCCUGGGCACAGGUUACUGAAAUCUUAUUUAUUUACGCCUCAGAAAAUACUUUGCCAUGUUCUGUAAAACAAGAACUAUUAUUCGAAAUAUUACAAAAACUUCUCAACAAAGCAAUAUCCAUUCAACCUUCUUUAGAUAUAUCCAUUUUAGCAUCAGAAGCAAUUUUUAUACUUAUUGUCUGCCUAAGACAAUGUUUUUCGCAGAAAACGGAAAGUCCAGGAAUGGAUAAAAAUAAAACAUCAUAUUUUGAUAAUAUGAAAAUAAUAAGCUCUCACUCAAAUAUCUUAAAUUUAAAAUCAAUAUUAAAACGUCUUUUGGAGUGGAUUGUUAUCAGCAAUGUGAAGUCGCAAAAGUUGCGAAUCAAUUUGUAUGCUGCAGUAUUGACCUGCUUACGAAUGUUAAAUGGGCACCUCUUGGAAAACGUAACAUAUCGCAAUGAUGAGUCAUUUGUAUCUCGCUUGGAUAAAGAAUUGGCAUCUAUGAAUUCAACAGGUGUACAAGUUCCGACCGAACUAUUUUCUACCUUUGGAGACAAAUUAAUUGAUAUAAUGUGCCAGGAUUGCGUUAUUGGUCACGACAUAUGUAAAAUGCUUGCGAUGUCGUGCUUUGUUUCAGCACUGGAGUUUAACACUAUUCCUAGCGUUAUGCAAUUGUUUGCUAAUCGGGGUUAUUUGGCAAAUGUCAUUGAAAACUUAGAACAAUCAGAUCAAGAUUUAUGCCUUGUAGUAAGCGAUUCUGUUAAAAAUAUUAAAGCAAUAUAUGUAUACGAAUCGCAUAUGGCACUGUUGCUCCGAUUUGCUAAUUGUUCCAUGGGUGCGGAAAUGUUACUUUCGGCUAAACUAUUAAGUGUUCUGUCGAAAAUGAAAGUGUUUAAUAUGCAUCCGGAUUUCCAGGGACUCCUUCGCAGCCAAAAAGAAGCACAUGAAUUUCUUCCCGCAGUGGAUAACCGGUUUCGCCAAAUAUUUUUCCCCGCUCUACAACUAUGUAACGCUCUUAUAACAACUCUUGGAAUGAAUAAUCAAUCAGCAAUUUCACAAACUGCAAAUUUUUUGUUUUCUCAUUUUGAAAUCAUCGAGUUUAUAUUACGAACCGGAAUAUCUCAGAGAGAUUUGGGUAUUUUGCAUGAACUCUCCGCUGUUACCAGUUUAAUUAGUCGUAUUAUGAGAAAGGAAAUAUGCAUGCCUGAUGAUGUAUCAAAUCAAAACAAUAUCUACAUUCAUAAAAUUAACAGAUAUAUGCUUCAUAUAUUUUGUUAUUUUGUGUUAAAUAAUGAUAUUUUGAAAAGAAAUACAAAACCUGAUGCUCAAAUUUAUGAAAUUUCUGAACAUAAUAGCUUGUAUAUUAAACAUUUCGUUGAUAUUACCGCGAACGUCACAAUUUUCUUUCGUUUUAAACUUACAAAUGCAAUGAAUUUAAGCGAUAUUCUAUUCACUCCAAAAAGAAGCACAUCAUUCAAAAGAAUGGAGAAACUGGAAAAAAAUGUGAACGAAUCACUUGAUUUCUCAACCGUCCUAAAUCAUUUACAAGGUUCGGUAGAAUAUCUCGAUAUGCAAAAACGAGUUACUGGCAAUAAAGUCUCACAGAAAUCAUACAUAGCGGACGCAAGUAUUAAUAAUUCUGGUCAUCCUUCGUGCAUCGAAUGGGUUCAGCAACAAGACAAUAGACAAAAAGAGUUCUCACUAUACAUAUUCAUCAUAGAACAGACCUUGUAUUUAUUAUGGCUGCACUUAGAUUUUUACGUGAGAUCUUCGUCGGGUACAGCUAGCAAGUGUUUUACGCCUGCUUUCGAAGGAUAUAACGGAACAGUCAUUUUCUCGAAGACCCAUUACAUUUCACCUCCCUAUCUUCUGAAAUCGGUAAACGGUAAAUCAGUACUCCCAGUUAGGUUUUGUAGACAGUGGAUCAGAAUGCACGACAAAUAUACAACUACGAAUAAUUAUUAAAAUUAGUUAACUAUCGAAAAACAAUGCAUUUUUUAAGGAUAUCAGUUUGGAAAUGAACCGUAAAUUGUAAUAUCGCCUGGCGUUUAGCAGGAAGAGAAUACCUUCCGCACGCUUUAUCCAUGGAAGACAUCGGUUUAUUGAAACAAAAUCUAAUAUCGGUGUUUAACGAAACAUUUUCCAGC
Anastrepha ludens (Mexican fruit fly) is the source of this 6051-nucleotide RNA transcript. It is a transcript of the gene named nuclear pore complex protein Nup205, with no coding region annotated. Lineage: Eukaryota; Metazoa; Arthropoda; Insecta; Diptera; Tephritidae. The transcript has 18 exons. The record is from RefSeq and is a predicted model, not a curated record.